GACAUACUCCGUUCCUAAAUUAUUGUCUUAGGUUUGUCUAGAAAUGGAUGUAUCUAAAUAAUAAAACGUGACUAGAUACACCCAUAUCCACACAAAUCUAAGACAAGAAUUUUGGGACGGAGGGAGUAUCUU
Non-coding RNA from Hordeum vulgare subsp. vulgare (domesticated barley), 132 nucleotides. NCBI's taxonomy places the organism in Eukaryota, Viridiplantae, Streptophyta, Magnoliopsida, Poales, Poaceae. The record is from Rfam.